RNAcentral lists this ribosomal RNA (642 nucleotides) under Geitlerinema sp. WUC561. RNAcentral's name for it is "bacterial SSU rRNA". It matches the Rfam family "Bacterial small subunit ribosomal RNA", at positions 204 to 862 of the family's 1533-position model. The record is from RNAcentral. Lineage: Bacteria; Bacillati; Cyanobacteriota; Cyanophyceae; Geitlerinematales; Geitlerinemataceae.
AAGGCUUGCUGCCUGAAGAAGAGCUUGCGUCCGAUUAGCUAGUUGGUGAGGUAAAGGCUUACCAAGGCAUCGAUCGGUAGCUGGUCUGAGAGGAUGACCAGCCACACUGGGACUGAGACAAGGCCCAGACUCCUACGGGAGGCAGCAGUGGGGAAUUUUCCGCAAUGGGCGAAAGCCUGACGGAGCAAUACCGCGUGAGGGAAGAAGGCUCUUGGGUUGUAAACCUCUUUUCUUAGGGAAUAAAAAAAUGAAGGUACCUGAGGAAUAAGCAUCGGCUAACUCCGUGCCAGCAGCCGCGGUAAUACGGAGGAUGCAAGCGUUAUCCGGAAUGAUUGGGCGUAAAGCGUCCGCAGGUGGUACAACAAGUCUAGUGUCAAAGACCGGGGCUCAACUCCGGGAUGGCGGUGGAAACUGUUGAACUAGAGGGUCGUAGGGGUAGAGGGAAUUCCCAGUGUAGCGGUGAAAUGCGUAGAGAUUGGGAAGAACAUCGGUGGCGAAGGCGCUCUACUGGACGGCAACUGACACUCAGGGACGAAAGCUAGGGGAGCGAAUGGGAUUAGAUACCCCAGUAGUCCUAGCCGUAAACGAUGGAUACUAGGUGUGGCUUGUAACAAAACGAGCCGUGCCGUAGCUAACGCGUUA